Molecule: unclassified non-coding RNA, 554 nt
Filed under: Cunninghamella sp. CedarWA3
Lineage: Eukaryota; Fungi; Mucoromycota; Mucoromycetes; Mucorales; Cunninghamellaceae
Description: partial contains ITS1, 5.8S rRNA and ITS2
Rfam family: 5.8S ribosomal RNA (bases 182-332)
Source: RNAcentral
AUUGGGCUGCCCCAGGAGUUUACUUUAGAUCAUAAGGGUUUUUAGCUAGUUUUCCGUUAGGAAACCUUUUGUAAAAGGGGAUAAGAUUUUUUUUUUAUUAUACUUUUUUUUUUAUUACUGAACUGAUAGACCAUAAAUCUAUGGUUGUUUUUUUUUUAUAUAAUAAUAAAAUUUAAAAAACAACUUUCAGCAAUGGAUCUCUCGGCUUUCGUAUCGAUGAAGAACGCAGCAAAUCGCGAUAUGUAAUGUGAUCUGCCUAUAGUGAAUCAUCAAAUCUUUGAACGCAUCUUGCACCUUAUGGUAUUCCAUAAGGUACGUCUGUUUCAGUACCACUAAUAAAUCUCCUCUCCACCUUGGUGGUUUAAAAGAACGAGAUAAAUGAUUACUGGUUCUGGUGAUUUUAUUUUAUAUAAAAUUACUCUCAACCUAAAUAUUAGGCUCGACUUUUCUUUUUUUUCCUCGGAAAAAAAAACCAGUCAGGCUUUAAUAGAAUUUCAUUUUUUCUACUAAGGUUUAUUGCCAUCACUUUUUUUUAACAAAACUGGCCUGAAAUC